RNAcentral lists this ribosomal RNA (253 nucleotides) under uncultured bacterium. Its description in RNAcentral is "partial 16S ribosomal RNA". It matches the Rfam family "Bacterial small subunit ribosomal RNA", at positions 524 to 776 of the family's 1533-position model. The record is from RNAcentral.
UACGUAGGGGCCUAGCGUUGUCCGGAUUUAUUGGGCGUAAAGAGCGUGUAGGCGGCCAGGUAGGUCCGUUGUGAAAACUCGAGGCUCAACCUCGAGACGUCGAUGGAAACCAUCUGGCUAGAGUCCGGAAGAGGAGAGUGGAAUUCCUGGUGUAGCGGUGAAAUGCGCAGAUAUCAGGAAGAACACCUAUGGCGAAGGCAGCUCUCUGGGACGGUACUGACGCUGAGACGCGAAAGCGUGGGGAGCGAACAGG